Small nucleolar RNA from Camelus dromedarius (Arabian camel), 72 nucleotides. The record is from Ensembl. Lineage: Eukaryota; Metazoa; Chordata; Mammalia; Artiodactyla; Camelidae.
UGGAUCGAUGAUGACUACUGGUCGCGUAUGAGUCAAAUACGGUGACUACAUGUGUGAAACUCUGAGGUCCAA